This 1445-nucleotide ribosomal RNA is filed under the name uncultured bacterium. RNAcentral describes it as "bacterial SSU rRNA". It matches the Rfam family "Bacterial small subunit ribosomal RNA". The record is from RNAcentral.
GUUGAACGCUAGCCGCAUGCAUAACACAUGCAAGUUGUAUGGAAUCCCAAUUGUUUAAGACAGUUGGGCAAUUCCAUGGCGAACGGGUGCGUAACGCGUGAGAAUCAACCCUUAGGAAGGGGAUAACCUUCGGAAACGAAGAUGAAUACCCUAUAUCCCGAGAGGGAAAAGCAUUAAAUAUGCGCCUAAGGACGAGCUUGCGUCUGAUUAGUUUGUUGGUAAGGUAAUAGCUUACCAAGGCGAUGAUCAGUAGCUGGUCUGAGAGGAUGAUCAGCCACACUGGUACUGAGACACGGACCAGACCGCUACGGCGGGCAGCAGUGAGGAAUAUUCCGCAAUGGGCGAAAGCCUGACGGAGCGAUGCGGCGUGGAGGAUGAAGGUCUACGGAUUGUAAACUCCUUUACCUAGAGAAGAAAUUUGACGGUAUCUAGGCAAAAAGCAUUGGCUAACUCCGUGCCAGCAGCCGCGGUAAGACGGGGAAUGCAAGCGUUAUCCGGAAUUAUUGGGCGUAAAGAGCCUGUAGGUGGCUUUCAAAGUCUUUUGUGAAAGGGUACGGCUCAACCGUACAUGUGCAAAAGAAACUUGGAAGCUUGAGUAUGGGAAGAGUCGAGGGAAUUCUUAGUGGAGCGGUGAAAUGCGUAGAUAUUAAGAGGAACACCAGAGGCGAAGGCACUCGACUGGCCCAUGACUGACACUGAGAGGCGACAGCUGAGGGAGUGAAAUGGAUUAGAGACCCAUGUAAUCUCAGCCGUAAAUGGUGGAGACUAGGUGUUGGGAAAUUUAAUUCUCAGUGCCGUAGCUAACGCGUUAAGUCUCCCGCCUGGGAAGUACGCUCGCAAGAGUGAAACUCAAAGAAAUUGACGGGGGUCAGCACAAGUGGAGGAGCAUGCUGUUUAAUUCGAUGCAACACGAAGAACCUUACCAAGGCUUGACAUGCCAUAAACAUGAAGGAAACUUCAUGGUGCCCGAUAGGGAAUAUGGACACAGGUGGUGCAUGGCUGUCGUCAGCUCGUGCUGUGAGGUGUAGCGUUAAGUCGCAUAACGAGCGCAACCCUUGUGUCGUGUUAUUUAUCACGACAGACUGCCGAUGAUAAAUCGGAGGAAGGAGAGGAUGACGUCAAGUCAUCAUGCCCCUUAUGCCUUGGGCGACAAGCGUGCUACAAUGGGUAGGACAAAGAGAAGCAAAUUCGCAAGAAUGAGCAAAUCUCAAAAACCUACUCUCAGUUCGGAUUGUUGACUGAAACUCGUCAACAUGAAGAUGGAUUCACUAGUAAUCGCUGGUCAGCCAUACAGCGGUGAAUACGUACUCUGACCUUGUACACACCGCCCGUCACACCCGGGAAGCUGUCUAGGGCCGAAGUCGUUACUCUAACCCUACGGGGAGGAGGACGCCUAAGUCAGAGACGGUGACUCGGGUGAAGUCGUAACAAGGUAGCCAAGGGCG